GACGAACGCUGGCGGCGUGCUUAACACAUGCAAGUCGAACGUGAUUUUUGUGGAAAUUCUUUCGGGAAUGGAAAUGAAAUGAAAGUGGCGAACGGGUGAGUAACACGUGAGCAACCUACCUUACACAGGGGGAUAGCCGUUGGAAACGACGAUUAAUACCGCAUGAGACCACAGAAUCGCAUGAUAUAGGGGUCAAAGAUUUAUCGGUGUAAGAAGGGCUCGCGUCUGAUUAGCUAGUUGGAAGGGUAAAGGCCUACCAAGGCGACGAUCAGUAGCCGGUCUGAGAGGAUGAACGGCCACAUUGGAACUGAGACACGGUCCAAACUCCUACGGGAGGCAGCAGUGGGGAAUAUUGCACAAUGGGGGGAACCCUGAUGCAGCGACGCCGCGUGAGCGAAGAAGGUUUUCGAAUCGUAAAGCUCUGUCCUAUGAGAAGAUAAUGACGGUAUCAUAGGAGGAAGCCCCGGCUAAAUACGUGCCAGCAGCCGCGGUAAUACGUAUGGGGCGAGCGUUGUCCGGAAUUAUUGGGCGUAAAGGGUACGUAGGCGGUUUUUUAAGUCAGGUGUGAAAGCGUGAGGCUUAACCUCAUUAAGCACUUGAAACUGGAAGGCUUGAGUGAAGGAGAGGAAAGUGGAAUUCCUAGUGUAGCGGUGAAAUGCGUAGAUAUUAGGAGGAAUACCGGUGGCGAAGGCGACUUUCUGGACUUUUACUGACGCUCAGGUACGAAAGCGUGGGGAGCAAACAGG
Molecule: ribosomal RNA, 746 nt
Filed under: uncultured Parvimonas sp.
Lineage: Bacteria; Bacillati; Bacillota; Tissierellia; Tissierellales; Peptoniphilaceae
Description: bacterial SSU rRNA
Rfam family: Bacterial small subunit ribosomal RNA
Source: RNAcentral